GAUGAACGCCGGCGGCGUGCCUAAUACAUGCGAGUCGAGCGAACAGACGAGGAGCUUGCUCCUCUGACGUUAGCGGCGGACGGGUGAGUAACACGUGGAUAACCUACCUAUAAGACUGGGAUAACUUCGGGAAACCGGAGCUAAUACCGGAUAAUAUAUUGAACCGCAUGGUUCAAUAGUGAAAGACGGUUUUGCUGUCACUUAUAGAUGGAUCCGCGCCGCAUUAGCUAGUUGGUAAGGUAACGGCUUACCAAGGCAACGAUGCGUAGCCGACCUGAGAGGGUGAUCGGCCACACUGGAACUGAGACACGGUCCAGACUCCUACGGGAGGCAGCAGUAGGGAAUCUUCCGCAAUGGGCGAAAGCUUGACGGAGCAACGCCGCGUGAGUGAUGAAGGUCUUCGGAUCGUAAAACUCUGUUAUUAGGGAAGAACAAAUGUGUAAGUAACUAUGCACGUCUUGACGGUACCUAAUCAGAAAGCCACGGCUAACUACGUG
RNAcentral lists this ribosomal RNA (497 nucleotides) under uncultured bacterium. RNAcentral's name for it is "partial 16S ribosomal RNA". It matches the Rfam family "Bacterial small subunit ribosomal RNA", at positions 28 to 507 of the family's 1533-position model. The record is from RNAcentral.